Molecule: non-coding RNA, 72 nt
Organism: Klebsormidium nitens
Lineage: Eukaryota; Viridiplantae; Streptophyta; Klebsormidiophyceae; Klebsormidiales; Klebsormidiaceae
Source: Rfam
GGUCCCAUGAUCUAGCGGUUAUGAUGUUGGACUCUGAAUCCAAAUGCCCGAGUUCAAUUCUCGGUGGGACCU